RNAcentral lists this ribosomal RNA (706 nucleotides) under uncultured Gammaproteobacteria bacterium. Its description in RNAcentral is "bacterial SSU rRNA". It matches the Rfam family "Bacterial small subunit ribosomal RNA", at positions 61 to 756 of the family's 1533-position model. Lineage: Bacteria; Pseudomonadati; Pseudomonadota; Gammaproteobacteria. The record is from RNAcentral.
GUCGAGCGGUAACAGAAAGUGCUUGCACUUUGCUGACGAGCGGCGGACGGGUGAGUAAUGCUUGGGAAUAUGCCAUUAGGUGGGGGACAACAGUUGGAAACGACUGCUAAUACCGCAUAACGUCUACGGACCAAAGGAGGGGACUCUUCGGAGCCUUUCGCCUAUUGAUUAGCCCAAGUGAGAUUAGCUAGUUGGUGAGGCAAGAGCUCACCAAGGCGACGAUCUCUAGCUGGUUUGAGAGGAUGAUCAGCCACACUGGGACUGAGACACGGCCCAGACUCCUACGGGAGGCAGCAGUGGGGAAUAUUGCACAAUGGGGGAAACCCUGAUGCAGCCAUGCCGCGUGUGUGAAGAAGGCCUUCGGGUUGUAAAGCACUUUCAGUUGUGAGGAAAGGUAUGUAGUUAAUAACUGCAUGCUAUGACGUUAGCAACAGAAGAAGCACCGGCUAACUCCGUGCCAGCAGCCGCGGUAAUACGGAGGGUGCGAGCGUUAAUCGGAAUUACUGGGCGUAAAGCGUGCGUAGGCGGAUAUUUAAGCAAGAUGUGAAAGCCCAGGGCUCAACCUUGGAACUGCAUUUUGAACUGGAUGUCUAGAGUACUGUAGAGGGUGGUGGAAUUUCCAGUGUAGCGGUGAAAUGCGUAGAGAUUGGAAGGAACAUCAGUGGCGAAGGCGGCCACCUGGACAGAUACUGACGCUGAGGCACGA